Non-coding RNA from Bos taurus (domestic cattle), 72 nucleotides. Lineage: Eukaryota; Metazoa; Chordata; Mammalia; Artiodactyla; Bovidae. The record is from Rfam.
UCCCUGUUGGCUAAGGUGGUAAAGAAUCUGCCUCCAAUGCAGGAGACCCAGGUUCGAUCACUGGGUGGGGAA